GUGAGUCAUCGAAUCUUUGAACGCACAUUGCGCCCGCCAGUACUCUGGCGGGCAUGCCUGUCCGAGCGUCAUUUCAACCCUCGAGCCCCCAGCUGGCUCGGUGUUGGGGACCGGCCCCGGCCGCCCCCGAAAUGCAGUGGCGACCUCGCCGCAGCCUCCCCUGCGUAGUAGCACAACCUCGCACCGGAGCGCGGAGACGGUCACGCCGUUAAACGCCCAACUUCUCAAGAGUUGACCUCGGAUCAGGUAGGAAUACCCGCUGAACUUAAGCAUAUCAAUAAGCGGAGGA
This 289-nucleotide unclassified non-coding RNA is filed under the name Tolypocladium sp. Its description in RNAcentral is "partial contains 5.8S ribosomal RNA, internal transcribed spacer 2, and large subunit ribosomal RNA". The stretch from base 1 to 71 matches the Rfam family "5.8S ribosomal RNA", at positions 84 to 154 of the family's 154-position model. Lineage: Eukaryota; Fungi; Ascomycota; Sordariomycetes; Hypocreales; Ophiocordycipitaceae. The record is from RNAcentral.